Formica exsecta is the source of this 1479-nucleotide long non-coding RNA. RefSeq lists it as uncharacterized. NCBI's taxonomy places the organism in Eukaryota, Metazoa, Arthropoda, Insecta, Hymenoptera, Formicidae. The record is from RefSeq and is a predicted model, not a curated record. The transcript is spliced from 2 exons.
GGUCCCCCGCUGUCGCGUGUCAUGCUCAUGUAAUCGCGAGCAACUUUCUUUUCCAACGACGGGGCACAACGAUCGACGGAGGGAAGACGAGUCUCUCGGCGAUUCGAUGAAACAUUUAUGUUCGCCCGCACGUGGGACUAUACACAGGUGAAAAGACAGAGCAGACAGACAGAGACGCAUACACGAGCAAUGAUGAUGAUGAGGAUGAUAAUCCAAUCGUGAGUAUGUACGAUCAGGAAGAAGGACGACGAUCGCGACGAAAGAUGUGCGUCUUGAUUGACGAGUUAUUGCCUCUAUCUUUACUUCAGCGCUUUCCCUUGGAGGAACGCACUCUCUUAUAAUCGAGAAUAGCGCCUUUUGCGCCUUUUCCGCUUGUCGAUAGUCUGCCAGCAACUGCAUAGUAACACAGAUAACACCGUCUUUACACGCCGGUCGAUAUCGCCGCGCGAUUAUUUAGUCACUGACAUUCCGCCGAUGACGUCUGUAGUGGUCGAUACAGAGUGAUUUGCCUAUAGUCGUACUAACUCGUCAAUUGAUUCUAACUUUCGAAUAGAUGACUUAAUUGAAGCAUCGAUGGUACAAUGACACAGAACUUAAUUGAAAUUUUGAUACUGUGUCUGCUCCUUUAUCCCGAAGAGAGAAGAGGAAAGCGUCAAGGACGAUUUUCGCGUUUAACUUCCACGUUCACGGACACGCCGCCGGUAUCUCUCUUUCUCACUCGUAUAAUGUAUACACGAUGCUGGCGAAGAACCGACUGUGCCGCUUUGCCACUCGGAUCCUCAUCUAUAUCCACCCGCGCUUGUGCGCGCCGUCGCUCUGUUCGUGCACGUGACAGAACGUUCGGUACACGCGAAUGUUACAACACUUAAUCGCAGAGAUGAAUUCGGAACCAAUCUUAGAUUAAUUGGAGCAAUCAGCUCCGGAAAUAAAAGAUUGCCUAUACAUAUGAAUAUCACAUCAGCCUUCAUAUUGCGUAAUACAUAUUGCGUAUAGAUUUUUUACUUGUAAAGUAUAAGAAAGAAUAUAAAAAGUUGCCUGUCAUGUAGAUUAUAAUAAUAUUCGAGUCGAACUAACUGAAAAAACGGCGAUAAAUCUGAUAGAAAUUGCGCGAAAAAUACGGCGUCCUUUUCGGAAAUCACGUUGAAAAAUCGUGCACGAGAUUCUUUCGAUCGUGAGAUGCAAUCGUAAAGAAUUUUGACAAUGGAUUAUAAAAUCGAGAAGAAAACCGAUGUCCUUCUUCUUUUUACGACCGGUUGACAGGCCGAGUUGUAGCAGUUUCCUACACACGUGCGAUGUGUAUGCAUUGAGAGAAACACAAAUGUCUCGAAACCGGUUUUCGAAGCUCGUCCCCGGUUGCCAUAAGCUUUAUGGCCGAAAGAAAGCAAGUCUCGAGAAUCUCAAUGCACCACCUUCGAUGCUGUGCACAAGAAGCUUGAAGUUUGGAUGUCGAUGUAAAUGCAUUUUUUAAUUUUCCCAAAA